AGGAGAAAAGAUAAAACAUCACGUAUCUAUCACAGCACAAUACACCAGUAACUAACCUAUAACAAAGGCAAGCGCAACAAUACUGACCACUUUUCUCAUGCAGAGUUGUUGGUGYCCAGUGCUGUCCCGCACUGAAGGCUGGCUGGGUGCUGGGCCGGGGUCCGUGCUGGUUUCCCUGGGUCAGGGCCGGUGGAGACUCCUGGCUGUCAGUGCCUGGUCUCUUGACUCUGACGUAACUAGACCAUACCCACAGAAAUGUCGGCAUUUCAACGUCAGUGCCCUCAGAUUUCUCACAAGAAGGCAAAAGCGUCUGGACAAACGAGAUGUGCAGUGUGCUUGAGCAGUUGUGCUGUAGCAUGCGAGCUCAAACGGACUGAACUGAACCUCAUUAUUUACACACAUUUCAACAAAGAAGGGGGUCUCCCCUUUCACUUCACUCACUUCAGCUCAGCAUAUGCAGGUGAAUAGAGGAACACAGACUGGCUGGUCAGAAAAUACUUCCAAACAGCAUGAGAAAGACUAAUUCACAGCCUACAGACAAUUAGACAGGAUUAACUUGCAUAAUGAUAUUACUGUUGAUUAUAAUGGGAGUAAGAACAUUUAUGUGACAGAUACAUUAUGCAAUUAUAUGGUGUAUAAUUAUAUGGUAUUACUGUAGUGUCAGUUAUAAGGAUGUAAAUCGCUUACAUAUAUUAGUCUGUGUCUUUGGAGAAAACAAAAAGAGGCUGAUACUUUUCUUCCUGCUCGAUUCCCGUAGAGAAGAUGAUACUUGACUAGUUCUCAAAAUGUCUGUGGAAACACAGGAAAAAGUGCUACGGCUUUUUACAUUUUAUCUUUAAUAUUCUGUUAUUUAAGUGUGUAAUAUUUCAUAUGCACCCAAAGUUUUAAUGAUCAUGCCUUCCACUGCACCUGUAUAAGAAAAGAAAGGAAAGGAGAUUGACAAUUUUGGCAGUGAGCAUUUUGAAGGGAAAACCACAAGCAAAUUCAGCACAGGAAAGACCCAGAAGAGGAAAAUAAGAUACAGAAGAAAAAUCUGAAUGUUUGACUGAAAAGAAACGAAUAGACUUUUAUGGAGAGGAAAGCAGACAAGCUUUGACUAUUAUCUUUAAGCAGGAGAGAGAACAAUCAAAACUGACCUUACAGCAUGUGAGCUUUGGUGAUGCAGAAGAGGUGGUGGUAUUACUGCAACACAGGAUGAGAAAAUGAAGAGCACUACUGCAGAACAGUGAAGUCAGUUUUGGCUAAGCCAAACGUGAAAAGCCGGUCAAUCAGCCAAGAUUAAAGAUCUGAGAACCUCUAAAGGACACAUGAUUAAACGGAGCGCAGAAAGGACUAGCGUGGAUAAAUGCAAUUGAAAGUUGUCAGAAAUGAGUGAUACAUAAAUCCUCGUGAACAGCUGAAGCCACUUUUGAACACGGAUUUAGGGCUGGAAGACUUAACCUCCAUGCGCUGCCCAAGGGCAAGAUUCCUUGCCACUCUCUGACUGUUCUUUUUUUCUUUCUUUGCGGGAGGGGGGGUGAAGCACUUUGUGCUGAAUUGCUGCUUUUGGAAGGUUUUACUCAUCUUAAUCAUUGAUGAUCAACUGAGCAAACUCAUAGGAUGAGUAAUAGGUUUUCUUAACUAUAAAAAUGAUGGCUAAAUAAAGGAACCGAUUAAAAUGUAUCUUUAUUAAAU
This is a long non-coding RNA of Dromaius novaehollandiae (emu), 1674 nucleotides long. Lineage: Eukaryota; Metazoa; Chordata; Aves; Casuariiformes; Dromaiidae. The record is from Ensembl.